AGAUUAAGAGAAAGCAUAACUUGUUCUUGAAGGAUUAGAAAGAGUAAUUGCUACAAAUUUUGAAUAAUUCUAGAUCACUCUACAUUCUCGAUAUCAUAGAAUUUCAGUUCUAUUCACGCUUAUCAUCAAAAUUUGAAAUUCAACAAAGAAAAGAAUGAUUAAAGAAGAAUGCAUAUUUUGAGGGGGAGCUUUAGAUAUUCAAUCUAAAUGCAAAAGGCUACAUCCAUUUGAUGAAUAUCUUGAAUAUUUUAUGGAUUGAUUUUGAUGAACCUCCUUAUAUUGCGUGACUUGCUUUAGUUACAUAAUAAGUUUAUAUCCUAAGAUGAGUUCUAUAAAGGUUGUCUUAUCUCAAACCUUGAGUCUUAUGAAAAUAUGUUGAAACUUAUAGAAAAUAUAUUUUCGAGAUUGACAAUUUUAUUAAACAUUAUCUUCAAAUUCUAAACUCUUAAAUGGAACGAUCAAUUAAGAGGGAGAAAGAAAAUUUCAGAAGGAAAGAUCAUAUGGAACUUAAUCGCAUAAAUCCAUAACUAAAGGAGAGAGAAAGAAUACUAAAUGAAAAGUGAUCAUAAUAUUCUCCAAUAUGUAUCAUCUGAAAUUUAAUCUGAAAAUCUUUACGAUACACCUUGAGGCUUAUUAUUUGGUUAGUAUAUCUUAUGCAUCAAUCAUGAACCAAAUUGCAACUCAAAUAGUU
Molecule: long non-coding RNA, 691 nt
Filed under: Phoenix dactylifera (date palm)
Lineage: Eukaryota; Viridiplantae; Streptophyta; Magnoliopsida; Arecales; Arecaceae
Description: long non-coding RNA (PDAC_LNC019058)
Source: RNAcentral